This 28-nucleotide non-coding RNA is filed under the name Mus musculus (house mouse). The record is from RNAcentral. Lineage: Eukaryota; Metazoa; Chordata; Mammalia; Rodentia; Muridae.
UCUCACAGAACCUAGGACUACCAGCCCA